Molecule: ribosomal RNA, 253 nt
Filed under: uncultured bacterium
Lineage: Bacteria
Description: partial 16S ribosomal RNA
Rfam family: Bacterial small subunit ribosomal RNA
Source: RNAcentral
UACAGGGGGUGCAAACGUUGCUCGGAAUCAUUGGGCGUAAAGCGCACGUAGGCGGUUCGUUAUGUCGGAUGUGAAAGCCCUUGGCUUAACCGAGGAAGUGCAUCCGAAACUGGCGAGCUAGAGUACGAAAGAGGAUCGCGGAAUUCCCGGUGUAGAGGUGAAAUUCGUAGAUAUCGGGAGGAACACCGGUGGCGAAGGCGGCGACCUGGUCCGAGACUGACGCCGAGGCGCGAAAGCGUGGGGAGCAAACAGG